Transfer RNA from Ipomoea nil (Japanese morning glory), 76 nucleotides. It matches the Rfam family "tRNA". From Rfam's summary of the family: Transfer RNA (tRNA) molecules are approximately 80 nucleotides in length. Their secondary structure includes four short double-helical elements and three loops (D, anti-codon, and T loops). Further hydrogen bonds mediate the characteristic L-shaped molecular structure. tRNAs have two regions of fundamental functional importance: the anti-codon, which is responsible for specific mRNA codon recognition, and the 3' end, to which the tRNAs corresponding amino acid is attached (by aminoacyl-tRNA synthetases). tRNAs cope with the degeneracy of the genetic code in two manners: having more than one tRNA (with a specific anti-codon) for a particular amino acid; and 'wobble' base-pairing, i.e. permitting non-standard base-pairing at the 3rd anti-codon position. NCBI's taxonomy places the organism in Eukaryota, Viridiplantae, Streptophyta, Magnoliopsida, Solanales, Convolvulaceae. The record is from Rfam.
GCCUCUAUAGCAUAGUGGUAGUGCAUUCGCUUCGUAAGUGAAUGAAAGGUCGUGAGUUCAAUCCUCACUAGGGGCU